UGGGGAAUAUUGCACAAUGGGCGCAAGCCUGAUGCAGCCAUGCCGCGUGUGUGAAGAAGGCCUUCGGGUUGUAAAGCACUUUCAGCGGGGAGGAAGGCGAUAAGGUUAAUAACCUUGUCGAUUGACGUUACCCGCAGAAGAAGCACCGGCUAACUCCGUGCCAGCAGCCGCGGUAAUACGGAGGGUGCAAGCGUUAAUCGGAAUUACUGGGCGUAAAGCGCACGCAGGCGGUCUGUCAAGUCGGAUGUGAAAUCCCCGGGCUCAACCUGGGAACUGCAUUCGAAACUGGCAGGCUAGAGUCUUGUAGAGGGGGGUAGAAUUCCAGGUGUAGCGGUGAAAUGCGUAGAGAUCUGGAGGAAUACCGGUGGCGAAGGCGGCCCCAUGGACAAAGACUGACGCUCAGGUGCGAAAGCGUGGGGAGCAAACAGG
RNAcentral lists this ribosomal RNA (429 nucleotides) under Chloroflexota bacterium. Its description in RNAcentral is "Chloroflexi bacterium partial 16S ribosomal RNA". It matches the Rfam family "Bacterial small subunit ribosomal RNA", at positions 355 to 776 of the family's 1533-position model. Lineage: Bacteria; Bacillati; Chloroflexota. The record is from RNAcentral.